UCCAUACCUCUCCAUUUCCCACCAAAAGGGGAAUACAAUAUCCCUUUAUUUCUCAUUUUUUCUCUCUUCUAAUAAUUGUCCAAACAAAAAUUUUUUUAAAAAGAAUUUCCUUUCCUUUCUGUUAUUUUCUCCCCCACUCUCUUCCCUCGAUCCAAUCAAAGCAUAAAUGAACUCAUCUUAACCAUAACGAGCUGAGAUAAAUUUUUUUCCCAUUCCUCGUCGUGGAAGCAGAAACCCUUGGGCUCUUUCCACAUUUCUCCCUUUAUUAAUCCAACUAUUGCCACUCCUUUUGCUUCCUCUGGAUAAUUUGAUGAGGAGAUCGAAGCAUGCAGGCAUCGAAAUGAGAAAAUCGAGAGCUCCACGCAACAGCAAAUGGUGGAGCUAGAGGAUGAACAUGUUCAUUGAUGCCCAAUUGAAGCUCGAAAAGGAGUCUUUAAAGUGUUGGAAAUACGCUUCAUGUUCAGGUGAACUCAAUUCCUAUAGUUAUGCUUUUAGCUGCUUUUUUUUUUUUUUUUUUUUUGAUAUUGAAUUCGGUUGAAUUGCAACUGAAUUUGUUCUUCAUAAUGUUUGGAUCGCAUUUUGAGUUCAAUUUUAUAGGAAAUAGUGCUAUCUUGUAGUCUUGAUGGGUAUGCAGAAAACAAUAUGGAUUUUGCUUUUGUCCAUUUUUUUUUGCAGUGUAAUUGUUUAUCUUGUGCAUCUGAUCUUGAGUUUUUUAGAGUAGUUUUGUUGAGUUUUGGACAGGAUUUAGAUGGUUUUUGUUGCUCCUGAAAGGUUUUUGCCAUGAAACUGGUUUGUCCAAGUGCAUUGAACCUGUAGCAGGGGUGAAAGUCUAAGUGCUAAUUUAGCCCUCAUCGGCAUAACAGUGGUUUGAACAGUGGGUAGCUAUUUAAGUAGGUUAAUUGUUUUAAUAGCGGUUAGUAUUUAGAUAUUAGCCGUUAAUAGUUGGUAAUUGAUAUGGUUAUUCAAAGUAAAAUUGUUCAGUAUAAAAUAAAUAUACAAUUAAUUAUUAAAUACAAAAUAAUAAGAAAAUAUUGGAAUAAACAUUAUUCAAAUACUAAUAUGAAUCAUAAAUUAAGAUAAAUUAAUAUCUUUUUAAUAAAUCAAUAAUAAAAGAUAUAAAUUAUUCUUAAAUUAAUAAAUUAAUGGUAUUUUUUAACACAUCACAAAUAAUUAAUAAUAUUAUUAUGAAUAUAACAAAUAUACAAUACGGUAUAAAAAAUAGUGAAAAGUAACAAUAAGAAGAUGUUGUAUAUUAGAAAUUAAAUCUAUAAAUUUGUUAAAAAUAUAAAGAAAUAAGUUAAAGAAAUACAAUUAGUGUCUACCAAACACUAAAUAUUAGGGAGAUGGAUUUUUUUAAUAUCCAUUAAUUUAAUAAUUAAAUAUUAUUAUAAAAAAAAAUAAAAAUAGUUAUGAAAUGAUAAAUGAUAAAAUUUAGACUUUAUUUGAUUGAGAGUAAUUCAAUUAGGGAAUUUCAAAUUUUCUAUAAAUAUAAAAAUUGUUUCUGUUUGGUUGAUAUUUUUCUUCAAGAAUCAGAAAUAACUUACUUAUCUCAAUUUAAUUAAAUUACUCCUGAAAAAUUAAAAAUAACACGAUUAAACCAAACAAGGUAUUAGUGUUUUGGUUACUUUCAAAAAAAGAUUUUAGUGUUUUGACUUAACUUAAAUGUUAUAUAUUAUUAGUUAUAUAUUAUUAGAGUCUCGGCAACCAAACACAGAUUAAUAAUAAAAUUUAAAUUGAUUUAAUUUAUUCAUCAUUCUUAUUAUUUUUAAACUAACCAUAAAUAUUUAUUCUUAUAAAUAAGAAUCAUUACCACAUUCAAUAUUUUUCUGUUAAUAUUUUUAUAAUAUUUAAAAUAUGAAUUUUAUAUAAUUUUUCAUUUUUAAAAAUAUGAUUUUUUUAAAAAAAAUUAAAAAAUUAUAUAAUAAACUUUUAAUAUUAAUUAUAAAUGUAUUAAGUAUUAAUAGUCACUAUUAAAUUAAAAGAGCAAUUAUUAAUUAAAAAUAAGAAAUAAAUUUAAAAUUAAAACAAACAAAAAAAAAUUAAGGGCUAAUCAAGUAAUUUUGAUAUAAAUAACUUUAAGUGAAAUCAUCUCUUGCAAAAUUCUAACAAUUUUGUCAAAAUUUACUUUUAAUUCAAAAUUAAUUCUCACAAGAAUUUAAAAAAAUAAAAUUCUUAUAUUAUUGAUUUUGUCCAAUAUAAAAAUUUAAAAAAUAAAUUUAUUUUUUUUGAAUUUUUUUCAAAAUUUGACAUUCCAAAUAAUGGUUAUAUUAUUAACAGGUAAACUGUUUCACCUAUCAUUUUCAUGGAAUUAAAACAGAGCAAAUAACCUAAUUUCUAAAAUCAAGGGAUUAAGUCAUAAUUUUAGUAAAAAAUAGGAACUAAAUAGUAAAUGUUUUUUAAAGAAAACAUUAUAUUCACAGAAAUACAUUAUAAGUAUGGAUUUGUUUAAAAAAUUAAAAAUCUCCAUAUGUAUACUUUCCUUAACUUGAAUCUAUUAUUUUUGGACAAAAAAACUAUUAUCUAUUCCUAGUUAUAAUCAAAUCCAAUGUUUAUGGAUAAUGAUUUCUUUCAUGAAGUCCAACUUACACAUAAAAUUCUAAAUCAAUUCUUUGGAGAAAAUGGUGAUGUGCUUUGUCAGAGUUUGGCAUAAACUAAAAAUUUUAAAUCAGUUUAGGUAAAGAAAAAUUUUAAAUAGCUUGCUUCACAAACGUUGAAAUAAUUUAAAAGAAAAAAAAACUUAGCUCAAUUAACUUGCUUCACAAAAUUGUUAAAAAUGAAAAAAAUUGUAUAAAAAAAAUAUUAUAAUCUAUCUCCUUGACCUCUAAAUAUUAGUAUUUAAAAUACUAAAAUACGAAUCUGAGAAUUAUUACCGAAUAGGUUUAAAACUUAUGACUCGAAGAAGAAUAAAAAUUAUUGGCAUGUGAAAGCUAAAUUUUAUCAUGCACAAGUUAAUCUUUGUGUUAAGACCCCAAGCACAUGCUUGGAUCUUGUUCCACCUCCAGCCAGGAGAAUAGUUGAGCAUGCUGAAUAAUUUGACUGUUCUAAAAAUUUAAGGUUUCUACUACCUUAUGAAAGGGGAUUGAUGCUUCCAAAAUUUGUCAUUUUCAUCUUGACUUAGGCAGCUGUUGUGUUCCUUUCAAUAUUUAAGGUACAUGUUAAAGUAAUAGGUUAAAAUGAUAAGUCAAAUAAGGAAAUAAAACUAUUUUUUUUAAAAAAAAAAUUAGAAGUGUUUCAUAUCUCAUAUUUGAAUUGGAAGUGAGCUAGUUAUCAAUCGUAAAUAAUACUCUAAAAUAUAAAGAUUGCUAGAUUACUUAUUAUUACAUAAUGUAGUAGAAUUGUGAAUAAAUAUCUGAGAAUCUGAGUGGAUGAUAAAUCCAAUUGUCCUAUAUAUGGGAGUGGAGUGAGUUGUUGUAGUGCUGUUUGAAUCUAAUCCACACCCAUCAAUCGGAACAAGUCCUGCACUUCCAGGGAACUUGGACCACACCAGUAAUGGUGCCAAAAGGUCACUUGCUUGAUGUGGCUACGGAACAAGGGUCGGCUAUGUGACCCUAGCCAACAUUGCCCUCAACUUUUCAUCCAAGUGUAAUUUAUAAAUUAAUUACUUCCUGAGCUAUGUCAACAGUGCCUAAUUCACUAGACAAACUAUUUUAUCUAAUCCUCAUCAAUUUUAAAAUUUGAUUUGGUUUUUUAUUCAAUUCGGUUCGAUUUGAUUUUUAAUUUUAAAAAUUUCGGUUAUUUCAGUUCGGUUCAGUUUUGAUCAGAAAAAAAUCGAAAAAAUCGAACCGAACCGAUUAGUGAUAAUAAUAUAUUAUUUUCAUUAAUAUAGCGAAAUGAAAUUAUAUUCAGAUUAAAAUAUUUUAAUUAAAUUUUAAAAUAUUAAAAAUAAAAUAUAAAAAAUAAAAAAAUUAUUAAAAAUCGAAAUUGAUCAAAUCGAAUUGAAUUGAACCGAAUCAAAUCGGUUCAGUUCGAUUCGAUUUUUAAUCAAAAUCGAUUUGAUUCGAUUUUCAUAAAUACUAAAAUUUUAAUUUUCGAUUUAUUCGGUUCGAUUCGAUUUUGAACCGAACCGACCGAAUGUUCAUCCCAAUAUAUAUAUAGUAGUUGUAUUUAAAUUUCUUACAUUAAAUAUUAUGAAACUAAAAGAUCAUAUGUUUAUUAGGGAUAAUAAUAAAACUAAUAAUAUUUUAUUCAAUAUGCAUAUUAAUUACUAUUAAAUUGAAAAGUCACUUUUUUUUUAAAAAAAAUAAGAAUUAUUUAUUAAUUAAUAGUAAUAAUAAGAUAUGGGUAAAAUAGACAAAUAGAAAAAAUAUAAUAAAAAGUCAUUUGUCAAUCACAAGAAAAUUUAUUUAUUUUAGAAUUUAGAUUUAUUAUAUAGAAAUUUUUAUUUAUGUCAAGUUGUAAAAAUUAAUUUAUAUAUUUUAUCAAUUAAAAUUUAAAAAGUAUAUUUCGUAAUGGACACUUCAUAGUAAUAAAAACUACUAUUAUUAUAAGGCCUAUUUAUUCUCUAACAUUAUUCCCUGUUCUCACAAAUUUUAUAAUAAGCCAUUAAAAUAUUAACAUUAUUUGAUUAGAUUUUAUAUGUUACGCAGGUGUAGGUGUGGCACAAAACCAAACCACAAGUGAGGAAGUGACCCUUUAAGAUCUUUUGUUGGGUACGCUGAAAUAAGACAUGCCUUACAUAAUUUAACGUUCAUAAACCGGUCAAGAUCGGACCAACAUAUCCAAAUCCGGAUGAACAAGAAGCUUACCUAAUCAUCCAGAUUUAGGCUCAUUACCCAAAUCCAAAUUGGACGGUUUCUAAUCAAAAGCAUGAUUUGAUAUAUACAUCAAACCCCAUUACUUUUCAAAACUCAAAUUGAAGCCGUGAAGAAUCAAAUCAAUCGAAAGGGUGGUGGACCAGAGCGAGAGUUGUCAUUUUAUAGACUAUUUUACGAGAGAGACACGCACCAAAACCGAGUGUUGGCCGUUGGUGAGAGAAAUUGGCUUUGCUGGAAAAAUUUUCAUGUGUUUCCAAAAGAAAUCAAGGAGGCCUAGCUAUAUUUAUGCAUCUGUAACUAUCAAUACUCAUGAUUCAAUUUAUCAUCCCUCUUUCUGAAUCCAAAUACUUUAAUGUGUUGUUUUAAUAAGGACUUCUGGUUAGAAAAUUAAGGCUUAAAGCCUCGUGCAUGUUUCCAGAUUUCGAGUACACAAGUGGAUGUAUAAAGCUUGGGAAUAGAUAUUUGAAAAGUACAAGGCAUAAGAAAUGGAUGCUUACACGUAAAAUUAGAGGGCAUAUACCCAAAC
Molecule: long non-coding RNA, 5280 nt
Filed under: Manihot esculenta (cassava)
Lineage: Eukaryota; Viridiplantae; Streptophyta; Magnoliopsida; Malpighiales; Euphorbiaceae
Description: long non-coding RNA (MESC_LNC007531)
Source: RNAcentral